GCCCAGGUGGUGAAAUUGGUAUACACGUAUCCUUGAGGUGGAUAUGGGAGCAAUCCUGUGGAGGUUCAAGUCCUCUCCUGGGCA
RNAcentral lists this transfer RNA (84 nucleotides) under Candidatus Kaiserbacteria bacterium CG_4_8_14_3_um_filter_38_9. RNAcentral's name for it is "tRNA-Leu". It matches the Rfam family "tRNA". Rfam says of the family: Transfer RNA (tRNA) molecules are approximately 80 nucleotides in length. Their secondary structure includes four short double-helical elements and three loops (D, anti-codon, and T loops). The record is from RNAcentral. Lineage: Bacteria; Candidatus Kaiseribacteriota.